This 447-nucleotide ribosomal RNA is filed under the name uncultured bacterium. RNAcentral's name for it is "partial 16S ribosomal RNA". It matches the Rfam family "Bacterial small subunit ribosomal RNA", at positions 29 to 523 of the family's 1533-position model. The record is from RNAcentral.
AACGAACGCUGGCGGCAGGCUUAACACAUGCAAGUUGAACGCCCCGCAAGGGGAGUGGCAGACGGGUGAGUAACGCGUGGGAAUCUACCCAUCUCUGCGGAAUAGCCCCGGGAAACUGGAAUUAAUACCGCAUACGCCCUACGGGGGAAAGAUUUAUCGGGGAUGGAUGAGCCUGGGUUGGAUUAGCUAGUUGGUGGGGUAAAGGCCUACCAAGGCGACGAUCCAUAGCUGGUCUGAGAGGAUGAUCAGCCACAUUGGGACUGAGACGCGGCCCAAACUCCUACGGGAGGCAGCAGUGGGGAAUAUUGGACAAUGGGCGCAAGCCUGAUCCAGCCAUGCCGCGUGAGUGAUGAAGGCCUUAGGGUUGUAAAGCUCUUUCACCGGUGAAGAUAAUGACGGUAACCGGAGAAGAAGCCCCGGCUAACUUCGUGCCAGCCGCCGCAGUAA